UACCCGCUGAACUUAAGCAUAUCACUAAGCGGAGGAAAAGAAACUAACUAGGAUUCCCCCAGUAACUGCGAGUGAAGAGGGAAGAGCUCAUCAUUGGAAUCUGGCAGUGUUACACUGUCCGAGUUGUAGAUGAGGAGUAGUCCGUCUGGACUGCAUGGCGUCCAAGUACAAUAGGCCGUCAGUGGGACAUCAUAGAGGGUGACAAUCCCGUCCUUGACGCCAAUGUGCAAGUCUAUUACGAUGGCUAUCUCAGAGAGUCGAGCAGUUUGGGAUUUGCUGCUUAAACAUGGGAGGUAGAUUCCUUCUAAAGCUAAAUACAGGCGAGAGACCGAUAGAGAACAAGUACCGCAAGGGAAAGAUGAAAUAGCACUCUGUGAAGGGAGUCAAAAGGCGUGAAAUUGUUGCGAGAGAAGCGAUUCAAGUCAGCGUAGCUAGGCCCAUCAAGCGUCUUCGCUUUGGACUAGCUUUGCCAGCGGUCUUGUCCCUUAAAGAGACUUGACUUGUAAUAUGUCCAGCCUGGCGUGCACAGGCAGCCCCUUCUGGGGGCCAGUGGCAUGGCUGGUGGAAUGGCUUGCAAUCGACCCGUCUUGAAACACGGACCAAGGAGUCUAACAUGUAUGCGAGUAUAAGGGUGGCAAACCCGUAUGCGCAAUGAAAGUGAUUUUCGGUGAUUGAGAAUGGCCUGAUGACCAGACAAGCAAUAUAUGUCCCUCGUACGGCCAUUGCCCAAGUUCCGUGGUAGAUCCCACGAACAUGGAGUUGGAGCAUACAUGCUAGGACCCGAAAGAUGGUGAACUAUGCCUGGACAAAGCGAAGCCAAAGGAAACUCUGGUGGAGGCUUGUAGCGAUUCUGACGUGCAAAUCGAUCGUCUGAUCUGGGUAUAGGGGCGAAAGACUAAUCGAACCAUCUCAUAGCUGGUUCCUGCCGAAGUUUCCCUCAGGA
This 943-nucleotide ribosomal RNA is filed under the name Cantharellus enelensis. RNAcentral's name for it is "eukaryotic LSU rRNA". It matches the Rfam family "Eukaryotic large subunit ribosomal RNA", at positions 22 to 978 of the family's 3401-position model. The record is from RNAcentral. Lineage: Eukaryota; Fungi; Basidiomycota; Agaricomycetes; Cantharellales; Hydnaceae.